AAACCAGCACCUCAAGUGGUCAGGAUGAUUAUUGGGCCUAAAGCAUCCGUAGCUUGGUGCAUAAGUUUUCGGUUAAAUCCACAUGCUUAACAUGUGGGCUGCCGGAAAUACUGUGCGCCUAGGGAGUGGGAGAGGUAGACGGUACUCGGUAGGAAAGGGUAAAAUCUUUUGAUCUAUCGAUGACCACCUGUGGCGAAGGCGGUCUACCAGAACACGUCCGACGGUGAGGGAUGAAAGCUGGGGGAGCAAACCGGAUUAGAAACCCGAGUAGUCC
RNAcentral lists this ribosomal RNA (274 nucleotides) under uncultured bacterium. RNAcentral's name for it is "partial 16S ribosomal RNA". It matches the Rfam family "Archaeal small subunit ribosomal RNA", at positions 473 to 747 of the family's 1478-position model. The record is from RNAcentral.